RNAcentral lists this ribosomal RNA (466 nucleotides) under Vreelandella stevensii. RNAcentral describes it as "partial 16S ribosomal RNA". It matches the Rfam family "Bacterial small subunit ribosomal RNA", at positions 338 to 795 of the family's 1533-position model. The record is from RNAcentral. Lineage: Bacteria; Pseudomonadati; Pseudomonadota; Gammaproteobacteria; Oceanospirillales; Halomonadaceae.
CCUACGGGUGGCAGCAGUGGGGAAUAUUGGACAAUGGGCGAAAGCCUGAUCCAGCCAUGCCGCGUGUGUGAAGAAGGCCUUCGGGUUGUAAAGCACUUUCAGUGGGGAAGAAAGCCUUGGGGCUAAUACCCUCGAGGAAGGACAUCACCCACAGAAGAAGCACCGGCUAACUCCGUGCCAGCAGCCGCGGUAAUACGGAGGGGUGCGAGCGUUAAUCGGAAUUACUGGGCGUAAAGCGCGCGUAGGCGGUCUGAUAAGCCGGUUGUGAAAGCCCCGGGCUCAACCUGGGAACGGCAUCCGGAACUGUCAGGCUAGAGUGCAGGAGAGGAAGGUAGAAUUCCCGGUGUAGCGGUGAAAUGCGUAGAGAUCGGGAGGAAUACCAGUGGCGAAGGCGGCCUUCUGGACUGACACUGACGCUGAGGUGCGAAAGCGUGGGUAGCAAACAGGAUUAGAUACCCUAGUAGUC